Molecule: long non-coding RNA, 3407 nt
Filed under: Homo sapiens (human)
Lineage: Eukaryota; Metazoa; Chordata; Mammalia; Primates; Hominidae
Description: HSALNT0357944
Source: RNAcentral
GGCUACCCAUUCAAGACUGUUUCCACACUGUGGAAGCUUUGUACUUUCACUCUGCUCAAUAAAGCCUGCAGCUUUUUCUCACUCUCAGUCCAUGUCUCUUUCACUCACUGUGGUCAGCUUCCACACCAUUUCUUUGGUGUGGCUUGGCAAGAACCUCAGGUGUUACAUCUUGGCGAGCCAGACAGGAGACUCCAGAAAAGGGGUGAUUUUCCUGUACCAGUCCAAUGCCUCCAGAGGAAGAUCAUACAUUUGCCAUUUUACUGCUUAGUACGCAUGCUUGAGCCUGCUCGCCCAACUGCUGAGAUCUUAUUCAGAAACUGCUGAUCACCAACUCCAGGUGUUUUUAUUACACAAGACAAAAACGGAAAAACAGUAACAAAUGAUUGGUUAAGCCUUUCAAAACAAAGAAGUGUAUGUGCUACAGUAUAUUUAGACCUAUUAUUCUUAAUCUUCUAAGUGGAACAUAAAAUCUUAAUGUCUAAUACAAAAAUACUAAGAAUAUGUAAGUUCUUAAUAAGUACUUGAUUGUCUGAAGCCCUGAAAUAGACACCUGGGAAUUUUACUAAUGGCCAAUAAGGAGGAACUGUUAGAAUAUAAAUUCCUGGUAAAGGAAACAAAAAAUAAGUUAUUUCCUUAAGGGACUACAGAGGGUACAGAAGUAACUUUUUGUCCUUUUGUUUGCAUAUUUUCAUACAAAGGGUUCUCAUCUAUUAAUUCCAUUCUGAAAGAUAAACAGCACACCAGCUAUCCUUAGCAUUCUAUAUAUAAGAAACUUCAGACUAAGCUGAGUGUGGUGGCUCAUACCUAUAAUCCCAGCACUUUGGAAGGCUGAGGUAAGCAGAUAACUUGAGCCCAAGAGUUUGAUACCAGCCUGGGAAACAUGGAGAAAACCCAUCUCUACAAAGAAUACAAAAAUUAGCUGGAUGUGGGUGGUGUGCACCUGUAGUCCCAGCUGCUCAGGAGCCUGAGGUGGGAGGAUCACUUGAGCCUGGGAAGUGGAGCCUGCAGUGAGCUGUGAUCAUACCGCUGCACGCCAGGAUCAAUUACAGAAUGAGACCAUGUCUCAAAAAAAAAAAAAUAAAUAAAUAAGGUAAGGUUUAGCAGGUUAGGUAAAAUAUAUUUUAUGUGAGAAAGUUAAAUAAUCUACCCCAAAUCAUAAAACUACAGAAUGGCAAAUACGAAAUGUAGAACUAAAUUAUUAACUCCAAACCCAGAGCCUUCCCUCAAAAUUCUGGCUAGAAAUGGCAAUGCUUAGAUGAAUAACUUCUGUUUCCUCUUCAAACAUUAAUAUUCCAGUAUGCCUGGAGUGGGAGGAACAUUACACUAUACUUCUUUCUCCUCCUUCAUUAGUGAAGGUCACUGGAAUAGGUUCAUUACACUCAAGCAAAGGCCUGGGGAAAUGAUAGAAUUACCUCUGUUGACCCAGAAGAGCACCAAAAGCACCAGUGUGCAGAAAUCAGAGACCUCAAGCUAAAAGUCAUAAAAGGACAAGAACCUGGAAGUCGUCGAACUGUGGAAGCAAAAGACCUGUAAUGCUCCUGCUUGCCGAGCUGUGAGCAGUGGUAGUAAAAGAGCAGUAACAUUCUCUCCUGCUUGCCAAACAGGAGAGAAGCCACUGGCACCACUCCCUCCCACUCACUGAACUAUAGAAGAGAAAAAAUUGAAACACCAAAAUUGGGGAAAUGCGACUUUUGCGAAAAUUUGAAAGUGCAUGCUUCACAGAAGGAAGGGGGAGCUGGUCUAUUAUGUCUCACUAUAACAAGACUAAAAUUUUGCAAAUAAAUUGUUCCUGCCAUAAUUUAUCCUUGGUAGAAAUGAAGAAAUUGGAGAGAGAAAAAAUUGGAUUCUAGGUCCUGACCAUUGUUUUUGAAUUUUUAUUAUUUUCCUACAAUUUAGGCUAAAUUCUGAACUAUUUGCUGGCUACAAGAGGCCUCUAAAAAAGAGCUGGGUUUUAGUUUUCUUCAUGCUCUUUAAAAACUGGCAUAUAAUGGUGUGUAUCUCUCGUUGUUUUACUUCUAAGAAACUGAAGGCAUGAUAUUCUGAAGACUAGAGGUGAUUCAAUAGCCUAUGAAUCUUCUUCAUUUGGAACCCCACUGGGCCUGAUCUGUUUCCCAUCACCAAUGCACUUCUGCUAAACCUAUAUCCUAUCAAGUACUCUCCCUAAAUGCUCAGAGACCAUAACAGAAGAUGAGGGUGUGUGAGAUUAUAAAAGCCAAAUUAGUGGAGUGGAAUCUGGAGGCUAAAGCAACUCCAUCUUGGAUGCUAAUCUGCCAUGUUGGCUUCUGAUUAACCCCAGUUCUGGAGGGCCUCUGAGGUUUCCAAUUUAUCUACUGUCCCUUGUGUAAGAACAAGUACUUAUCAUAAAUCCUGCUAUUAGGGCAAAUUUCUACCCAUUCCCUCUGAAGCAUGUGCACCUCUCCUCUACAUGUAAUCUCCCCUACAAUAGAUAAACCCCUCUGGGUCUGGGGGCUAAUAGUGUGGGAACCCAUCAUCUUGCCUCACUGCUGCACAAGCCACAGGUGUGGCUUCUGUUUCUAAGUCCCUAUUAAAUGUUUCUAGAUACCAGAUGUAUCAACCUCUUUCUUCAGCCUCUCAGCUUCCUGGGACUUUGGGGUUGGUUUGCAUAGACCUACCCACCAAAAAACUCUCACAGAGUCAGUCUUAAAUACAUACAGAGCACGGUUGGGAAAAUUCCAUGAAUAUUUAUAGGGGAAGUCAUGUGCUUGAAAAUUGGAUAAACUUGUAUGUAACAUACAUUCCAUUUUGACCUGGGGGUGAGGUUUCAGCUGGGAUUCGACUGUUUAUGUCAAAAGGUAAACUCUAGGGCAAAAAGAAUUUGGACAUAGUCUCUGCAAGCUGACUGAAACUGGCUUAAGAUCUAUGGUCACUUAUCAAUAAAGAAUGUGAUAAAAACGGUCUUUGUCCAAUCAGAGUGCUGGCAGGACCACAAGGCAAGGAAAGGGCAUUGACAGUUGGAGUCCAGUGAUUUAUUAGUAUUGGUUGGAAAAUUUUUCAAUUAUAGUUGUUUUGGCAAUGUUUUUCAGGAGCUGGUUUCUGUUUAAUUACAGAAAAGAAACCUUAUGUAAAUUAACAACAACAGGAUACAUGAACAAUCCUUCAUCCUACUAGCCAUGAAAUUCUGGAGUUUUUUGUUUGUUUGUUUGUUUUAGGGUUUUUUUUGUUGUUGUUGUUUUGCUUUGUCUCAUUGUAGCCACAGAAAGUCCAUUUGGUCUGUCUGUUGGGGUAUAUUGUGACAAUUCCAUUUGUCUUUAGCUGAAAAUGGUUUCAAGCCUGAAUUCUAAGCCACCUCAUUUUCUCCUAGUAUCUCCCAUGUGUUAGCUUAAAAGAAAAACACAACUUAUAAAUGUAGAAAACGAGAAGAGGAGACUUUGUUUCUUAUAGAGGAU